UUAAAUAAUAACAUAAAGAAACAAAUUUUGGUCCCUAAGAGACCUCAUGAUGCAUAUGAUAUGAAUGUAAAAGUAAAUUCUUUGUGGGGAAAUAUUACCACAAAGGAAAAGAAAUCAGAGAGACCGAAAGUCCACUGGAGCAUAAUGCAUUCCGUAAGGAAAAUUCACUGGGGUGACAGAGACUCUGAGGGAUAAAGAAGUUAUGUGUAGGCCAGACUACGACUUAA
This 227-nucleotide long non-coding RNA is filed under the name Lathyrus oleraceus (garden pea). Its description in RNAcentral is "Pisum sativum (pea) long non-coding RNA (PSAT_LNC020664)". The record is from RNAcentral. Lineage: Eukaryota; Viridiplantae; Streptophyta; Magnoliopsida; Fabales; Fabaceae.